UUUGUUUCUUAAAUGUCUUUUGAAAACCGAUAAAUCCACUUAUAUUUUCAGAGAGCAGCAAACCUUGGAAUUAAAUCAUCAUGGAAAUAAAACAAAAAGCAAAAGAAGAUGAGCCAUCCUUAAGGGAAUUCUGGAAGGGUCCAUUGCUACCUGAAAAAGGAAGGUCUACUGAAUCUCUACUAGUAGACACCAUUGAUCUCCACUGAUUUACAAGAAUAAUAAUGUGAAACCAAUGAAAACAUGAUGGCAUGCAGCACAGACGGAAGGUUAGUAGUUUUCACAGUAUUAUAGUCUGAAAUCUACCUGUCUCAAAACAACUUGUCA
This 324-nucleotide long non-coding RNA is filed under the name Macaca nemestrina (pig-tailed macaque). RNAcentral's name for it is "lncRNA (ENSMNEG00000046043.1)". Lineage: Eukaryota; Metazoa; Chordata; Mammalia; Primates; Cercopithecidae. The record is from RNAcentral.